GACGAACGCUGGCGGCGUGCUUAACACAUGCAAGUCGAACGGAAAGGCCCUGCUUUUGUGGGGUGCUCGAGUGGCGAACGGGUGAGUAACACGUGAGUAACCUGCCCUUGACUUUGGGAUAACUUCAGGCAACUGGGGCUAAUACCGGAUAGGAGCUCCUGCUGCAUGGUGGUGUUUGGAAAGUUUCGGCGGUUGGGGAUGGACUCGCGGGUUAUCAGCUUGUUGGUGGGGUAGUGGCUUACCAAGGCUUUGACGGGUAGCCGGCCUGAGAGGGUGAACGGCCACAUUGGGACUGAGAUACGGACCAGACGCGAACGGGAGGCAGCAGGGGGGAAUAUGGCACAAUGGGCGGAAGCCUGAUGCAGAAACGCCGCGUGCGGGAUGACGGCCUUCGGGGUGUAAACCGCUUUCGCCUGUGACGAAGCGUGAGUGACGGUAAUGGGUAAAGAAGCACCGGCUAACUACGUG
Molecule: ribosomal RNA, 468 nt
Filed under: uncultured bacterium
Lineage: Bacteria
Description: partial 16S ribosomal RNA
Rfam family: Bacterial small subunit ribosomal RNA
Source: RNAcentral